CACUUCUAAGGAAGGCAGCAGGCGCGCAAAUUACCCAAUCCUGACUCAGGGAGGUAGUGACAAGAAAUAACAAUAAACCGGCUUAUGCCGGUUUAAUUGGAAUGAGUACAAUUUAAACAUCUUAACGAGGAACAAUUGGAGGGUAAGUCUGGUGCCAGCAGCCGCGGUAAUUCCAGCUCCUAUAGCGUAUACUAAAGUUGUUGCAGUUAAAAAGCUCGUAGUUGGAUUUCUGUGGGGACGGAGCGGCCGGCCGCACAUCGCGGUUCGAGCUAGCGCUUUCCCUACAUCCUGCCGCGAACCGUGCUACCAUUAAUUUGGUGGCGCCGGGGAUCGGCUCGAUUACUUUGAGAAAAAUAGGGUGUUCAAAGCAGGCCACAUGCCUUGAAUAAGUUAGCAUGGAAUAAUAACUAAGGACUUCGGUUCUAUUUUGUUGGUGUUCGGGACUGAAGUAAUGAUUGAUAGGGACAGUUGGGGCGGUCUGUAUUCCAAAGCGAGAGGUGAAAUUCUUAGACCUUCGGAAGACAAACAGCUGCGAAAGCGUUCCGCAAGGAUGUUCCCUUUGAUCAAGAACGAAAGUUGGGGGAUCGAAGACGAUCAGAUACCGUCGUAGUCUCAACUAUAAACUAUACCAGCUAGGGAUCGGCCAACGUUAUUUUAUACCGACUUGGUCGGCACCUUAUGAGAAAUCAAAGCAUCUGGGUUCCGGGGGGAGUAUGGUCGCAAGGCUGAAACUUAAAGGAAUUGACGGAAGGGCACCACCAGCCGUGGAGCCUGUGGCUUAAUUUGACUCAACACGGGAAAACUUACCAGGUCCAGACAUAGUAAGGAUUGACAGAUUGAUAGCUCUUUCUUGAUUCUGUGGGUGGUGGUGCAUGGCCGUUCUUAGUUGGUGGAGUGAUUUGUCUGGUUAAUUCCGUUAACGAACGAGACCCCAGCCUGCUAAAUAGCGCGCGUGAGCUUUGCUCGCGGCGAGCUUCUUAGAGGGACUCUGAUGCGCGAUAGCACAUGGAAGUUUGGGGCAAUAACAGGUCUGUGAUGCCCUUAGAUGUUCUGGGCCGCACACGGGCUACACUGGCGCCUGCAACGAGCAUAUCAGCUGGCCCGAGAGGGUCUUGGCUAAUCUUUUGAACCGGCGCCGUGCUUGGGAUUGACCUUUGCAAUUGUUGGUCAUGCAACGAGGAAUGCCUUGUAAACGCGAGUCAUCAGCUCGCAUUGAAUACGUCCCUGCCCUUUGUACACACCGCCCGUCGCUCCUACCGAUGAAUGUUCCGAUGAAAUAUUCGGAGAGCACCUGUGAACUUGGCUCCGCCUUGCGAACGGGAGGCUCAAAGUCACUUAAAUCUGAACAUUUC
RNAcentral lists this ribosomal RNA (1352 nucleotides) under uncultured marine eukaryote. Its description in RNAcentral is "SSU rRNA". It matches the Rfam family "Eukaryotic small subunit ribosomal RNA", at positions 411 to 1775 of the family's 1831-position model. The record is from RNAcentral.